CCUACGGGUGGCAGCAGUGAGGAAUAUUGGUCAAUGGACGAGAGUCUGAACCAGCCAAGUAGCGUGAAGGCUGACUGCCCUAUGGGUUGUAAACUUCUUUUAUAUGGGAAUAAAAUGUUCCACGUGUGGGAUUUUGUCUGUACCAUAUGAAUAAGGAUCGGCUAACUCCGUGCCAGCCGCCGCUGUAAUACGGAGGAUCCGAGCGUUAUCCGGAUUUAUUGGGUUUAAAGGGAGCGUAGGUGGAGUGUUAAGUCAGUUGUGAAAGUUUGCGGCUCAACCGUAAAAUUGCAGUUGAAACUGGCAGUCGUGAGUACAGUAGAGGUGGGCGGAAUUCGUGGUGUAGCGGUGAAAUGCUGAGAUAUCACGAAGAACUCCGAGUGCGAAGGCAGCUCACUGGACUGCAACUGACACUGAGGCUCGAAAGUGUGGGUAUCAAACAGGAUUAGAUACCCGAGUAGUC
This 460-nucleotide ribosomal RNA is filed under the name uncultured bacterium. Its description in RNAcentral is "partial 16S ribosomal RNA". It matches the Rfam family "Bacterial small subunit ribosomal RNA", at positions 338 to 795 of the family's 1533-position model. The record is from RNAcentral.